RNAcentral lists this long non-coding RNA (1026 nucleotides) under Vulpes vulpes (red fox). RNAcentral's name for it is "lncRNA (ENSVVUG00000025175.1)". Lineage: Eukaryota; Metazoa; Chordata; Mammalia; Carnivora; Canidae. The record is from RNAcentral.
UUUUCUCUCUCUGGUAGAUUCGAUCAGGCUCCAGGUGUCAAACAGGGCCUUGAGGUUGUGGCAGGUGGAGGUGAGACUCACCCUGACUUCUGUUCCCCAGGGAUACAUCUGAUUCUGCCUGGAGCAAGAUGCUGGCUAGAGUCGGAGGCUUUGUGCUAGGGCUCAUUGCCCUCUUGGUGAGCUUCAUUCUCCGUUUUAGAAGCCAGCGAGGUGACUCGAACUCACAACCCCGAGGCCAAGAGCUGCUCGCUCCAAUGUCAGAACCACCCUGGUUUCCUUGGAUUUAACAGUUUUUGAAUAGCUGAAGUACAAGCAAAGGAUGCAGAUGAAGGUUCCUGAUUUGGUUGACAACAUCCUGCUCAGUACAGCCUUUAUCACCACAGCCUGAGGGUGUGAUGACUGACCUCAGCCCCAGGAACCUGGUGGUGAGCAUUGAAGGACAAACAGCCAAUUUGCCUCAUCAGGAUGAUUCUUUCUGCACUUGAUGAUAAGGAAACCAGCAGGUCCCGAUCUGAUGGGUUAGAAACCCAUCACAGGGCCAUUGGAAUAGGUUUUCAGGCUCCAGGGACUCGGUGUAAGCUUCUUCCGUGUUGUACAUGAAGGAGCUGAGCCCAAGUGCUCGGUCAACAGCCUUCUGGCCGCAACCGCGCCCCAGCUCCGCUCACUUCCGACUCCUGACGGUAGGGGGUUGUCCUUUCCUUCUUUAUUCAACAACUGUAGGAAUUAAAACUGUAGGGUAUUUUUAAUCCUCGUGAGAAAUGCUCCCGUUUUUUGUUGUUGUUUGUUUGUUUGUUUGUUUUUUAGGAAGAAGCAUUGCAAGGAUCUGAAUUUUAAAUGUGCUUUAAAGCUCAAAAAUAUCAGGUGGGAUCCCGUCAUCACCUAGUGGCCCACAGUGGAAUCCACACUUGGAACAAGAUGUGAGGGAAUUUGUCAAUUUGGGAAAGCGCCAGCGUUUUUAACAAAAAAGUUAGAGAAAAAGGCAUACAAAAGCCAAAAUAAAUAUGGCCAAAUGUAGAGGCUUUGGCA